UCAUGUUUAGCUCAUUUGGUAGAGUGCUCCACUGGAAAUAGAGGUCCCUGGUUCGAUACCAGGACCAGGCA
RNAcentral lists this transfer RNA (71 nucleotides) under Ixodes scapularis (black-legged tick). It matches the Rfam family "tRNA". From Rfam's summary of the family: Transfer RNA (tRNA) molecules are approximately 80 nucleotides in length. Their secondary structure includes four short double-helical elements and three loops (D, anti-codon, and T loops). Further hydrogen bonds mediate the characteristic L-shaped molecular structure. tRNAs have two regions of fundamental functional importance: the anti-codon, which is responsible for specific mRNA codon recognition, and the 3' end, to which the tRNAs corresponding amino acid is attached (by aminoacyl-tRNA synthetases). tRNAs cope with the degeneracy of the genetic code in two manners: having more than one tRNA (with a specific anti-codon) for a particular amino acid; and 'wobble' base-pairing, i.e. permitting non-standard base-pairing at the 3rd anti-codon position. The record is from Rfam by way of RNAcentral. Lineage: Eukaryota; Metazoa; Arthropoda; Arachnida; Ixodida; Ixodidae.